RNAcentral lists this ribosomal RNA (441 nucleotides) under Pseudomonas sp. RNAcentral describes it as "bacterial SSU rRNA". It matches the Rfam family "Bacterial small subunit ribosomal RNA", at positions 40 to 478 of the family's 1533-position model. Lineage: Bacteria; Pseudomonadati; Pseudomonadota; Gammaproteobacteria; Pseudomonadales; Pseudomonadaceae. The record is from RNAcentral.
CGGCAGGCCUAACACAUGCAAGUCGAGCGGUAGAGAGGUGCUUGCACCUCUUGAGAGCGGCGGACGGGUGAGUAAUGCCUAGGAAUCUGCCUGGUAGUGGGGGAUAACGCUCGGAAACGGACGCUAAUACCGCAUACGUCCUACGGGAGAAAGCAGGGGACCUUCGGGCCUUGCGCUAUCAGAUGAGCCUAGGUCGGAUUAGCUAGUUGGUGAGGUAAUGGCUCACCAAGGCGACGAUCCGUAACUGGUCUGAGAGGAUGAUCAGUCACACUGGAACUGAGACACGGUCCAGACUCCUACGGGAGGCAGCAGUGGGGAAUAUUGGACAAUGGGCGAAAGCCUGAUCCAGCCAUGCCGCGUGUGUGAAGAAGGUCUUCGGAUUGUAAAGCACUUUAAGUUGGGAGGAAGGGCAUUAACCUAAUACGUUAGUGUUUGACGUAC